UUUAUCAAAAACAUCUUAUAUCUGUUAAAAUUGAAAGAUCGAAAUAACGAGAAUUGUAUUACUUUUAGUUUCGUAAGAUUUUUUUGUCUUUCUUUCUAUAAGUUCUAUAGUUACCGGUAAAAACAGUAUUUAUAAUUUCUGGCAGCCAUAUUUGAUUUAGUCAUAGAAUCCAACAUGGGCGUUCCUUUUUGUCGUCUGCAAAGUGUCAAAUGCUUUGUGUUUUUUAAAGAUGGACAGGAUUAGUGAUACGUUAUAAUUAAAAAUAAUUAGUACAAAAGUUUUAAAGAAAGAUCUGAAUUAAUGAACAUUGUUUAAUAUUUUUCUGUGAUUACGUUAUUUUUAUCGACGAAAAACGUACAUUUCUUAUGUACAAUAGUCAUCCGUAAUAUGAUAUACAUAUACAAGGAGAUUUGAGCUGGUAUAUAUCAAAGGUUUCUGUGAUUCAAUAAUUAAUUAUUAUAAAAGAAAUUAUCGUAAUUGUAUUGUAAUAAAUAUAUGUAUUAAAGGAAGAUAUUUGAAAGGAAGAUAGUGCGUGUAAAAAGCAUCGAGAGAAGGUUAUGCUUGUCGUCAAGUGAAAAUUAUAUAUGUGUGAGUGUGCGUGCUACUAUGCUAUUUAUUCGUUUUUAAAUGAAUGAGGAACGGACACCAAAUUACAAAUAAUAUUAUGUCGUCGAAAUAAGAUAAUUACUAUUUUAAAUCAUCGUACCUGGAUAUUCGAAUUAGUUGAUUUUCUUUAUAUAAAAAAAGAAAAAAAAAUAUUGAAGAAAUAAUCUCAUUGUAUUGAAAAUUAUAUGACAUUUCAAAAAGAUCUACUCUUUUAUAAGAAAAGGACGAAGAGGCUGAAACAGAAAAAAAAUUUGUAUUAUUGUAUCUCAUAAGUUGAUUCAAAGAUAUAUAUAAAAUGUCUGGAAACAAUACAAUGACAGCUGAUACACUCAGAAGUGGGAACAUACAUAAUCGUAAUUCACAAAGAUCUACACUUUUAAAAGUAGUGAUUUUGGGUGACGGCGGAGUUGGAAAAUCUUGUCUUAUGAACAGAUUUGUAUCGAAUCGUUUUGAUGAAUAUAAUUUUUACACUAUCGGAGUAGAAUUUUUAAACAAGGAUAUAGAAAUCAAUGGCGAAUCUUAUACUUUACAAAUAUGGGAUACUGCAGGGCAGGAACGAUUUAAAACAUUAAGAACUCCAUUUUAUAGAGGUUCAGAUAUUUGUCUUUUGACUUAUGCCGUUGAUGAUAGAACAAGUUUUAAAAAUUUGGCUCUCUGGAGAUCAGAAUUUCUUUAUUAUGCGGAUGUCGAAGAAGCAUCUACUUUUCCAUUUAUAGUUGUGGGAAAUAAGGUGGAUGUUUUGGAAUCUGAAAAACAAGUAACCACAGAAGAAGCCAGAGCAUGGUGUGCAGAAAAUGGAGAUCCACCAUUGGUCGAAACGUCUGCAAAGGAUGCAACAAAUGUAGAAGCAGCAUUUGCAGCUGCUGUUGCUGCAUGGGCACGACUGGAGGCUAGAUUAGAACAUCCGUUAGUAGAAGAUACUGUCGACCUUUCUAAACAGCUGUCUCCGCAACGUUCCAGUUGCUGUAUGCCUGUCUCUGGUGCUGAAUCUACAUUUGUGACCAGCUAACUGAAAUGGGUGGUAUGAAGAUAGACAUGAUAAGAAAUAUUUAUGAUACGAAUCAACAUUUUUGGAAGGAACACUUAGAGUUUGUUUGCAUUUGGAAGGAACAUAAUGCGUCUCAAAUUGAACUAAUCCCUAAAAUGGUGUUUACUAUAUUUAGGAUGUAUAAGGACAUUGUACCAAAAGAUGUAAGAGAUUUUUAUUUUCCUUGAUUUCACCAACUGACAGUCCAUUUUCUUUUGUGAAUUUUUCUCCACGAAACAAAAUCAUUUUGUAACUUUAUUCGAUUAAAAUGAGACUAUUAUUAAUUUUUGAUUAGGUCUAACAAAAUAAUUUGAAGAGAAUCUUGCCAGCCUUCAAUACUCGGUUAAUUACAAGCCCAAAGUUUCUAUAAAGACAUUAGAAAUAAUUUCAAGUACAUCCAUCAAAAUAUUUCAAUAUAAUGUUUCUUGUGUGUUAUAUGAAAUAUGUUAGAUAUUCUCAAGAAAGAUAUUUAUGUUACUAAAGUUUUGCACAAAUCUUACUUAACAGGACUGUUAGUUAAUUUGCUAUUCUUCUAGUAUGUGCUCUGUAUAUCUAUCUUCGAAUACCUUACAUAAAUUGUAAAAAUUCACAUGUAAGAUAUGUACCACUGGAACAUUGAAAAAAGAAAAAAAGAAAAAAAACAAAAAAAAAGAAAAAAGGAUGAUUUAUAAUAUUU
RNA transcript from Vespa mandarinia (Asian giant hornet), 2309 nucleotides. It is a transcript of the gene named RAS oncogene family member Rab9, with no coding region annotated. NCBI's taxonomy places the organism in Eukaryota, Metazoa, Arthropoda, Insecta, Hymenoptera, Vespidae. The record is from RefSeq and is a predicted model, not a curated record.